AGGACGAACGCUGGCGGCGUGCUUAACACAUGCAAGUCGAGCGGAAAGGCCCUUCGGGGUACUCGAGCGGCGAACGGGUGAGUAACACGUGAGCAAUCUGCCCCUAGCUUCGGGAUAGCUCCGGGAAACCGGAAUUAAUACCGAAUAUUACUACGGCCGACAUCGGCUGUGGUGGAAAGUUUUUCGGCCAGGGUGGGCUCGCGGCCUAUCAGCUUGGUUGGGGGGGUGACGGCCCACCGAAGGCGACGACGGGUAGCCGG
RNAcentral lists this ribosomal RNA (260 nucleotides) under uncultured bacterium. Its description in RNAcentral is "partial small subunit ribosomal RNA". It matches the Rfam family "Bacterial small subunit ribosomal RNA", at positions 26 to 290 of the family's 1533-position model. The record is from RNAcentral.